RNAcentral lists this ribosomal RNA (252 nucleotides) under uncultured bacterium. RNAcentral's name for it is "partial 16S ribosomal RNA". It matches the Rfam family "Bacterial small subunit ribosomal RNA", at positions 15 to 278 of the family's 1533-position model. The record is from RNAcentral.
GAUCUGGCUCAGAACGAACGCUGGCGGCAGGCUUAACACAUGCAAGUUGAACGGGAUUUGUGUGGUGCCUGCACCAUAUAAUGAGAGUAGCGCACUGGUGAGUAACACGUGGGAACGUGCCUUUUAGUGGGGGAUAACAUCUGGAAACGGAUGCUAAUACCGCAUACGCCCUGAGGGGGAAAGAUUUAUUGCUAAGAGGUCGGCCCGCGGUAGAUUAGGCAGUUGGUGGGGUAAAGGCCUACCAAACCUACG